RNAcentral lists this ribosomal RNA (492 nucleotides) under uncultured bacterium. RNAcentral's name for it is "partial 16S ribosomal RNA". It matches the Rfam family "Bacterial small subunit ribosomal RNA", at positions 29 to 507 of the family's 1533-position model. The record is from RNAcentral.
AGUGAACGCUGGCGGUAGGCCUAACACAUGCAAGUCGAACGGCAGCACAGUAAGAGCUUGCUCUUACGGGUGGCGAGUGGCGGACGGGUGAGGAAUACAUCGGAAUCUACUUUUUCGUGGGGGAUAACGUAGGGAAACUUACGCUAAUACCGCAUACGACCUACGGGUGAAAGCAGGGGAUCUUCGGACCUUGCGCGAUUGAAUGAGCCGGUGUCGGAUUAGCUAGUUGGCGGGGUAAAGGCCCACCAAGGCGACGAUGCGUAGCUGGUCUGAGAGGAUGAUCGGCCACACUGGAACUGAGACACGGUCCAGACUCCUACGGGAGGCAGCAGUAGGGAAUCUUGCGCAAUGGGCGAAAGCCGGACGGAGCAACGCCGCGUGAGUGAUGAAGGUCGUCGGAUCGUAAAACUCUGUUAUUAGGGAAGAACAUAUGUGUAAGUAACUGUGCACAUCUUGACGGUACCUAAUCAGAAAGCCACGGCGAACUACGUG